UCAACAUUUAACAUCCAUUUUCCAUGCUGGUAUGAACUGAAUGGCUUGACAGAAACUGGCGAGGCGCAGGGGCUACAUCAGGUUCCAUAGUCUGUUUUGGCUUGGUUUCUAUGGCUGGAUGCCCUUCCUAAGGCCAACCACUUCACAGAUUAUGAUGAGUGCUUUUUAUGUGCCAUCAGCACAG
Octopus sinensis (East Asian common octopus) is the source of this 184-nucleotide long non-coding RNA. RefSeq lists it as uncharacterized. The transcript is spliced from 3 exons. The record is from RefSeq and is a predicted model, not a curated record. NCBI's taxonomy places the organism in Eukaryota, Metazoa, Mollusca, Cephalopoda, Octopoda, Octopodidae.